Chrysemys picta bellii (western painted turtle) is the source of this 359-nucleotide non-coding RNA. NCBI's taxonomy places the organism in Eukaryota, Metazoa, Chordata, Testudines, Emydidae. The record is from RefSeq and is a predicted model, not a curated record.
AUUGUGCCCAGGCCUGGAAGGUGUCCAGUCUGAGAGAAACUUACUGAAGCAUCUCUGAGGAAGGGAGAUGGAGGCACAAAGAACAAGUAAAGUAACUUGCCCAAGGUCAUCCAGCAGCAGAGCUGGGAAUACAACUCAGGACUCCUGAGUCUCAAUCCAGGGCUCUACCUACUCGCAUAUGCUGCUUUGGGAAGAGUUGGAGGUUCCGGUCCUAUCACAUGCUACUAUGGGUCAAAUUCUGUGAUCAGAUAAGCAUGUGUAAUCUCCAUUGACAGCACUCGGAGAUUCAUGGAGCAUUGUGUUCCCUGAGAACAGAACUUGGCUCAUAAUUUUAAAGUAAAGUAUUAUUCCUGCAAUAA